GAGAAACUCUCCUUCCAGAAAUACAGGCAUGCAUCUGGCUUCCUUCUCUUUUUCUCUAUUGGCCUUUUAUUUGGCGUUCUGGAUUUCAUUUAACUUUUUAAAAACACUGAAGUAUGAUUUUUAGUUUGAAUAAAAAAGCAGUGAUGUAGUAACCUGUGAUCUUCCCCUUUAAGGGUGGCUUCAAUAGGGCACAGAGAAAGAGAGAGCAAUGCUGUCUUGGCAUUCCAAACAGCCUGGUUGGUUGGUCACAUGCCCACCUUAUAGUGAAGUCUAUCAAGGCUUUGCCAGGAGGCUAAGAGUGGGUUCAACUUUUACAAAAACACAAGAGCUGCAUGAGAAAGACCAGAUAGAUGACUGCCUAGGCAUAAGAGUCCUGAAUUAUUUUGAGAAAAAUGAAAGCAUGAGAAUGGAUGCUGGGUCAACUGUCAAGUUUCCACCACCGUUGAUUAUUUAAAUUUCUGCCAUUGACUGCAUGCAGGGGAGAUACCAAAAACUAUUUAUCUGUCUGCAUGUUUAUGCAAUCAACCAAUCUGAAAGGACCUGGCUUUCAGUGGAGAAGCCUGGCUCCCAAGGGUCUCUUGUUUGCAAGGUGUUAACUCCUUAGUUGCUAUAUUGAAGUGUCCAAAAGCUACUAGGGAAGGUGACAGAAGACCAUGAUAGAGUGGGGCACUCAGAGGACACAGGGCAGUGGCAAUUUACCAACUGAAGCAGAAAUAUAUCAAUAUAUUUUAACAACCUUUAUACUUGUACCCAUGUGUGCCAGCUGAAUUUUUUUUUAAAACCACAAUGUGAUUUUGCUUCUGAAUAGACUCUCCAUUUCUCUUAGUUUUCUCAUUUUAAAAAUGAGUGGAUUGGAUUAGAUGAUUUUAAGAAUUCCUCUGAAAACAAUGUUUGUGUUGUAGUCUAUAACAAUUUAUAUAAAUGACCCUUUAAUUCUAUCAUGUACAUUGUGAUAUGUUUCAAAUAGAAUAUCGUAAGCAGUUGUUACACAUUUUAAAAUGCAGAGAACCAAAUUUCCAUUUGAAAUUUGGCACGUUAAAUUUAACUGAAUUUAAAUUUAACUGGAUCUGCAUGCUGAAAUUUUCAAAUAGAUUGUUUUUAAGACCAUGAGGGAUUUCUUGUUGUUUCUCAUUUUCUGUGUUUUGCUUGUAAAAUGUGAGAAAAAGACAACCAACUUAACACCUUAAAAACCACUAAUGUUGUUUUGACCUUAACGAGAACUCAGGAGGCACAAAAACAGAAUUGGCUAAAGGAAAAUUAGAGUUAAGAUGGAAGCCAUUCAUUCGCCUAAGGAUGGUUCAGUGGCUGAAGUCAUUCAUUUCCGGCAGCUGCCGUUGGCCAGGUUACCCAAGGAUGGAGAGAGAGGAAGGGAGUAGUAGACACAGGUCAUUCCCACUUCCCCACCCCGACAGGUUCAAAUGCCCUCACAGGUAUGGGUUUUUCUCCAGGGUUUCACCUGCUACUAUAACACUUCCUGAGAAGUCUACCCAAUCUCUUAGGUUUUUACCUGGCUUGUCAUCUUAGAUACAAAAACCUCAGAGGACAAAUUUUUUUACUAAAAUAAAUGGGAAAUCAGCGACAAUGAUGAUGCUGUUUCCUCCCUCCCUCCCCUUUCUUUGUCCUCCUUUACCCAUCUCGCCCAAAUCAGUUGAUCGUCCCAGAGGGCAGGGUUGCAGGCACUAAAAUUAUAGGCAAGAGGAAAGAGUAAUAUAGAUUAUCUUUUUCUGCAGAGACGUGAGUGUUUGUAGUAUUCUGAAUUUUUGGUCUGUCCGAUGGAGCAUUUCAAGCAUUUGCAGAUCUAGACUUGUGGAUUUUUCUGAACAAGUUGCCAGAGCUAUCAAAAUUAAGAAAAGCUCUUGACCUUUGAAGAGAGAACUUCUUGUCUAAAGCUAGCAUUUUCUCCUAUCUUCAGAGCAAAACCGGUGGCUAAGUAGAUCCCUAAGUCCCCCUCCUUCUCUUUAUAUAUAAUUUUUGAUAUAGUUGUAUGUAUAUACACAUCUACAUUAAUCAACUCAGAUGAAAAACUUUACUAAGAGAAACUUCUAAGGGAAAAGAGCCACAGGUAUAGGGAUGAAUGAUCUUAUCUUUCUAAAUGUGUUUUCUCUUAUAGCACUGGAUAUAGAUAAAAUGCGUUCAUAAU
RNAcentral lists this long non-coding RNA (2140 nucleotides) under Homo sapiens (human). RNAcentral's name for it is "HSALNT0313072". The record is from RNAcentral. Lineage: Eukaryota; Metazoa; Chordata; Mammalia; Primates; Hominidae.